Molecule: ribosomal RNA, 253 nt
Filed under: uncultured bacterium
Lineage: Bacteria
Description: partial 16S ribosomal RNA
Rfam family: Bacterial small subunit ribosomal RNA
Source: RNAcentral
CACGUAGGGGACGAGCGUUGUCCGGAUUCAUUGGGCGUAAAGCGCGCGUAGGCGGCUCGGAAAGUCGGUCGUGAAAUGCCGGGGCUCAACCCCGGGACUGCGUCCGAUACUCCCGAGCUGGAGGCAGGUAGGGGAGAUCGGAAUUCCUGGUGUAGCGGUGAAAUGCGCAGAUAUCAGGAGGAAUACCGGUGGCGAAGGCGGCAUCCUGGACCGGCAUUGACGCUGAGGAGCGAAAGCCAGGGGAGCAAACGGG